UGGGGAAUAUUGCACAAUGGGCGCAAGCCUGAUGCAGCCAUGCCGCGUGUAUGAAGAAGGCCUUCGGGUCGUAAAGUACUUUCAGCGGGGAGGAAGGGAGUAAAGUUAAUACCUUUGCUCAUUGACGUUACCCGCAGAAGAAGCACCGGCUAACUCCGUGCCAGCAGCCGCGGUAAUACGGAGGGUGCAAGCGUUAAUCGGAAUUACUGGGCGUAAAGCGCACGCAGGCGGUUUGUUAAGUCAGAUGUGAAAUCCCCGGGCUCAACCUGGGAAGUGCAUCUGAUACUGGCAAGCUUGAGUCUCGUAGAGGGGGGUAGAAUUCCAGGUGUAGCGGUGAAAUGCGUAGAGAUCUGGAGGAAUACCGGUGGCGAAGGCGGCCCCCUGGACGAAGACUGACGCUCAGGUGCGAAAGCGUGGGGAGCAAACAGG
This 429-nucleotide ribosomal RNA is filed under the name Chloroflexota bacterium. RNAcentral describes it as "Chloroflexi bacterium partial 16S ribosomal RNA". It matches the Rfam family "Bacterial small subunit ribosomal RNA", at positions 355 to 776 of the family's 1533-position model. The record is from RNAcentral. Lineage: Bacteria; Bacillati; Chloroflexota.